UACGGAAGGCAGCAGUGGGGAAUAUUGCACAAUGGGCGAAAGCCUGAUGCAGCUAUGCCGCGUGUAUGAAGAAGGCCCUUAGGGUUGUAAAGUACUUUCAUCGGGGAGGAAAAAACAAAACUAAUAAUUUUAUUUCUUGACGUUACCCGAAAAAGAAGCACCGGCUAACUCCGUGCCAGCAGCCGCGGUAAUACGGAGGGUGCUAGCGUUAAUCAGAAUUACUGGGCGUAAAGAGCACGUAGGUGGUUUUUUUAAAGUCAGAUGUGAAUCCCUGGGCUUAACCUAGGAACUGCAUUUUGAAACUGAAAUACUAGAGUAUCGUAGAGGGAGGUAGAAUUCUAGGUGUAGCGGUGAAAUGCGUAGAUAUCUGGAGGAAUACCUGUGGCGAAAGCGGCCUCCUAAACGAAUACUGACACUGAGGUGCGAAAGCGUGGGGAGCGAAACAGGGAUUAGAUACCCGU
RNAcentral lists this ribosomal RNA (461 nucleotides) under uncultured bacterium. RNAcentral's name for it is "bacterial SSU rRNA". It matches the Rfam family "Bacterial small subunit ribosomal RNA", at positions 340 to 789 of the family's 1533-position model. The record is from RNAcentral.